RNAcentral lists this ribosomal RNA (510 nucleotides) under uncultured bacterium. Its description in RNAcentral is "partial 16S ribosomal RNA". It matches the Rfam family "Bacterial small subunit ribosomal RNA", at positions 28 to 507 of the family's 1533-position model. The record is from RNAcentral.
GACGAACGCUGGCGGCGUGCUUAACACAUGCAAGUCGAACGAAGAGCGACGGAAGCUUGCUUCUAUCAAUCUUAGUGGCGAACGGGUGAGUAACGCGUAAUCAACCUGCCCUUCAGAGGGGGACAACAGUUGGAAACGACUGCUAAUACCGCAUACGAUCUAACCUCGGCAUCGAGGAUAGAUGAAAGGUGGCCUCUACAUGUAAGCUAUCACUGAAGGAGGGGAUUGCGUCUGAUUAGCUAGUUGGAGGGGUAACGGCCCACCAAGGCGAUGAUCAGUAGCCGGUCUGAGAGGAUGAACGGCCACAUUGGGACUGAGACACGGCCCAGACUCCUACGGGAGGCAGCAGUGGGGAAUCUUCCGCAAUGGACGAAAGUCUGACGGAGCAACGCCGCGUGAGUGAUGACGGCCGUCGGGUUGUAAAGCUCUGUUAAUCGGGACGAAAGGCCUUCUUGCGAAUAGGGAGAAGGAUUGACGGUACCGGAAGAGAAAGCCACGGCUAACUACGUG